AGUGAACGCUGGCGGUAGGCCUAACACAUGCAAGUCGAACGGCAGCACAGUAAGAGCUUGCUCUUACGGGUGGCGAGUGGCGGACGGGUGAGGAAUACAUCGGAAUCUACUUUUUCGUGGGGGAUAACGUAGGGAAACUUACGCUAAUACCGCAUACGACCUACGGGUGAAAGCAGGGGAUCUUCGGACCUUGCGCGAUUGAAUGAGCCGAUGUCGGAUUAGCUAGUUGGCGGGGUAAAGGCCCACCAAGGCGACGAUCCGUAGCUGGUCUGAGAGGAUGAUCAGCCACACUGGAACUGAGACACGGUCCAGACUCCUACGGGAGGCAGCAGUGGGGAAUAUUGGACAAUGGGCGCAAGCCUGAUCCAGCCAUACCGCGUGGGUGAAGAAGGCCUUCGGGUUGGAAAGCCCUUUUGUUGGGAAAGAAAAGCAGCAGGUUAAUACCCCGCUGUUCCGACGGUACCCAAAGAAUAAGCACCGGCUAACUUCGUG
RNAcentral lists this ribosomal RNA (492 nucleotides) under uncultured bacterium. RNAcentral describes it as "partial 16S ribosomal RNA". It matches the Rfam family "Bacterial small subunit ribosomal RNA", at positions 29 to 507 of the family's 1533-position model. The record is from RNAcentral.